GCGCUUGAGAAAAGCCAUUUUUCAGCGGCCUUCUAAGCUGCUGGUCGCUGGUUCGAAUCCAGCCGGGCUCG
Molecule: transfer RNA, 71 nt
Filed under: Allobosea sp. AK1
Lineage: Bacteria; Pseudomonadati; Pseudomonadota; Alphaproteobacteria; Hyphomicrobiales; Alloboseaceae
Description: Bosea sp. AK1 tRNA-Arg
Rfam family: tRNA
About the family: Transfer RNA (tRNA) molecules are approximately 80 nucleotides in length.
Source: RNAcentral